This is a long non-coding RNA of Cyanistes caeruleus (blue tit), 367 nucleotides long. RefSeq lists it as uncharacterized. Lineage: Eukaryota; Metazoa; Chordata; Aves; Passeriformes; Paridae. The record is from RefSeq and is a predicted model, not a curated record.
UCUCAGCAAUCCGCAGACCCAGAUACUUCCAGGGUGGCAUCCGUUGAACUUUGUCCUCCUGGAGUUGAAAGCCUGCAGAUGUUAAAACCUUAACCACUCGGUCAAGUGAUCGGCCUAUAAUCAGCCGAGGAAAGGAGGCAGGAAAACAAUUCUUUCAGGUCAUAGGGAACCAUUUCAUUCGCAGAGAAGGCCUACCCCCCACCCUUUCCCAGGCAUGGGAACCGGAUGUUGAAGCGUGGGAACCAGAAGGGGGAGCGUGGGAACCAGGAGCCGGAAGGGGCGAGACUGGAGGACUGCCUGAGGAGGAGGGCAAGAGGGAGGAGCGACAAUCGGAGGAGGCGAGGUUCAGUUGGGUGACAUCAGCAGG